Molecule: ribosomal RNA, 492 nt
Filed under: uncultured bacterium
Lineage: Bacteria
Description: partial 16S ribosomal RNA
Rfam family: Bacterial small subunit ribosomal RNA
Source: RNAcentral
AGUGAACGCUGGCGGUAGGCCUAACACAUGCAAGUCGAACGGCAGCACAGUAAGAGCUUGCACUUACGGGUGGCGAGUGGCGGACGGGUGAGGAAUACAUCGGAAUCUACUUUUUCGUGGGGGAUAACGUAGGGAAACUUACGCUAAUACCGCAUACGACCUACGGGUGAAAGCAGGGGAUCUUCGGACCUUGCGCGAUUGAAUGAGCCGAUGUCGGAUUAGCUAGUUGGCGGGGUAAAGGCCCACCAAGGCGACGAUCCGUAGCUGGUCUGAGAGGAUGAUCAGCCACACUGGAACUGAGACACGGUCCAGACUCCUACGGGAGGCAGCAGUGGGGAAUAUUGGACAAUGGGCGCAAGCCUGAUCCAGCCAUACCGCGUGGGUGAAGAAAGCCUUCGGGUUGUAAAGCCCUUUUGUUGGGAAAGAAAAGCAGCAGGUUAAUACCCCGCUGUUCUGACGGUACCCAAAGAAUAAGCACCGGCUAACUUCGUG